GACGAACGCUGGCGGCGUGCUUAACACAUGCAAGUCGAACGGUGAAGCGCCUUCCUUUUUGGUGGGUGUGGAUGAGUGGCGAACGGGUGAGUAACACGUGAGUAACCUGCCCCCUUCUUCUGGAUAACCGCAUGAAAGUGUGGCUAAUACGGGAUAUUCUGGGUCUGUCGCAUGAUGGGUCUGGGAAAGAUAUUGUUUCGGUGGGGGAUGGGCUCGCGGCCUAUCAGCUUGUUGGUGGGGUGAUGGCCUACCAAGGCGGUGACGGGUAGCCGGCCUGAGAGGGUGGACGGUCACACUGGGACUGAGACACGGCCCAGACUCCUACGGGAGGCAGCAGUGGGGAAUAUUGCACAAGGGGCGCAAGCCUGAUGCAGCGACGCCGCGUGAGGGAUGGAGGCCUUCGGGUUGUGAACCUCUUUCGCCAGUGAAGCAGGCCUGCCUCGUUUGUGGGUGGGUUGACGGUAGCUGGAGAAGAAGCGCCGGCUAACUACGUG
This 494-nucleotide ribosomal RNA is filed under the name uncultured bacterium. Its description in RNAcentral is "partial 16S ribosomal RNA". It matches the Rfam family "Bacterial small subunit ribosomal RNA", at positions 28 to 507 of the family's 1533-position model. The record is from RNAcentral.